This 2647-nucleotide long non-coding RNA is filed under the name Ananas comosus (pineapple). RNAcentral's name for it is "long non-coding RNA (ACOM_LNC008868)". The record is from RNAcentral. Lineage: Eukaryota; Viridiplantae; Streptophyta; Magnoliopsida; Poales; Bromeliaceae.
AUUAAAAUUCCUAACCAAUUAUUUGUGACAUAUAUUGCACGCACACAAUGACUAUGAGUAGAGCUAGAAUACUCCCAAAAGCACCAAUUGGUUGGUGCUUGUGAGUUUUUAGCCCUUGAUUGGAGAGAUGUGAGAUUGGGAUGAUGGUGGUAGGUGGUGGUAGGUGGUGGUAGAUGGAAUAGUGUUUGAUCCAAAGGUUAUUAGUAUUUAAGGAGUAGAUCCAAGGGCUACAAAAGUAGAAGCACCAAGGGGCCUAAUACUUCUAAAAGUAUUCUAGCUCAAUUCCAAUGACUAUAUCUAUCUAUCUAUAUAUAAAAGUAUGUAUUUUGAAUUAAACUUUGUCGACAGACCCACUUUUUGGCGGGAAUUUUUUUUAGUUCCUUUUUUUAUGCAAAACAAAUAACAUAAUGAAAUAAGUUUUUAGUUUCUCUUUUUUCUCUAACAAAUAAUUUUUAUUUUUUUAUUAAAUAUUUUUAUAUCAUUUCAUAUCUUUUUAUUUUAGGUAAAUAUUUUCAUAUGAUCUUAAUACUAUCUACUAAUAUUUAGUUAUUGUAUUACUUUUUAAGUUUUUAUUGAUUACAAUCAACAAUAAAAUUUUAAUUUAAUUUCAAAUAUAUUUAAAUUUAAUCUUAUGAUUUUACAAUUUUAUCCAAAAAUUUAUAGUAAAAACUUAAAAUUUUUAAAAAUAAUUUCAUCUAUUAUCAAUUCAAAGUUUGAACUUAAUUAUACGAUUUAUAUUCAAAUUUAUAAAUUUUUAAUUUAAAAUUAAAAAUUGAGUUUAAGUCGUGAAUUAAUUUUUUUUGGGAUAUCUAAUUUGAAUUAACAAUUAAAAACUUUUAAGUAAAGUGGAUCCAAGUUAAAUCUAAAAUUUUAUAUUUAAUGUGAGUUAGGAUAUGAUAGAAAUUUUCUCAUAAAAUAUAAUAGAUGAAAUUAUUUUUUAAAAUUUUAAGUUUGUACUAUAAAUUUUUAGAUAAAUAUGAUGCACAAAUUUAUUUGAUUUUUCAGUUAUGUGUAUUUGCACAGAUACUCGACUAGUUAUAUAUAGAAGUAUGUAUUUUGAAUUUAGAUAUAUCGACAUAUAUAUAUUUUUUAGUGGAAAAGAAAUUUUGGUUCCUCUUUUUUUUAUGGAAAUAAAUAAUGCAAUGAAAAAAAAAAAACUUCUUAUUUUUUACUUAAGUCCCGUUUGUGCUUUCAAGCUGCUUUCAAUGAUGAGAUAUUUUAUUCGACGAUUGACAUAGAUAGACCUGAGCUACAAUAUUCGAACUAUCUACAAAUCAAAUUUUAUAAUUUUUUUAUAUUAUUUGUCAAAUAAUUUAGGGCCUCAAAAAUUACUAUUUUAAUAACCGAUAUGGCACAUCUGUAAAUUCAACGGUGUAAAACAAUCUAAAUUCAAAAAUUUUAUUUUAUUACUAAAAGUAAGAUGGCUAUUUCCGAUCUAAUUUUAUUAUUAUUUUUUAUUAUUUUUUAGUUUUAAUUGUUUAUUUUAAGAUUAAUCAUUUAUUAGUCAAAUAAAAUUGAAAAAUUAUAAAAUUAGGUGUAUUUUAUUUAUGUGCACCAAUUUUUUUGGUCUUUUUGCAUAAAAAAUACACCAGUUUUGCAUUUUUGUAAAAAUGGACCACUUCUUUAGAUUUUGUAGAUUCGGUCCGAAUUUUCAAUAUACUGACUAAAAUAUCUUUAUUAAUUUUUCUCAUUCCUUCUUUCUCUCAUUCUUUUUUCCCUCUUCGACCCAUAUUACCUCCUCUACCACAUCUGCGGCCCUCAGAGACGGUAACGAGGGUGGCACGCCUCCCCUUUCUUCGUCUCUAUCUUUGCCUACGCUAGUGCGGGCAUCGGAGGAGGACUCGGAGCGAAUGCGGAGAAUGCAGCAGAUGGAGGUGGUAAGGUCGUGGCCAAGGUGGUGCUCGCUGUUACCCAUAAGGAUGAGAAUGAAGACAUGCCCCCCCUUCUCCAAGGAACACAUAGUUGAGCUGGCGAUAGUGCUAUGCACUUCCUUACUCUUCUCUUUUUAUGACUCGAUUGAGAAUUUUCUGAAAAAUGUUUAAAUUCUUUGUGCGCAUUGUAAUAGAUAGAUAUUUUUUAUUUUUGGCCCCCACCAGGUACAACACAUUAUUUGUGGACUACUACUAAUAUUUUUCUUACCGAAUAUGACAUAAAUCAUAGAAGUGGUCUUGUGGCGGAGGGCAUGACCACGGAUGGCGAUGGCAACGACGAUGAGGGUACUGAAGGAUUUAAGAACUACGGGGUGGUAGAGCGCGUCUGAUGAGGGCGGUGGCUGCAACAGAGGGCGAGGGAAAGGGUGCGAUUGCGGAAAAAGAUGCAGAGGGUAGAAAAAAAAAGAAAAGUAAAAAAUAAAAAUAAAAAUAAAAUAUAAAGUAAAAAUAAUUUUUUCUCCUGAGAAAACUAUUAUGUAUCAUCGCAACUAUAGAAAAGGCUAAGCAAAGAAGAAAGAAGAAAAAGAUGAAGUUACACAGCUAAGAUGAAGUUAUAUUGUUUCAGAAGAAAGUUGCACCGUUUGAAACAAAAAUUGCACCCUUGAGAUAAAAAUUAUGUUUUUUUAGACUAAAGUUGCACUCUUUGGGUAAAAGUCGCACUCUUUAGGGAAAGUUACAAUAUUUGAGAUGAAAAUUAUGCUGUUUGAAAGGAAAUU